Molecule: regulatory RNA element, 90 nt
Rfam family: PyrR binding site
About the family: This family represents the PyrR binding site and terminator structure. This RNA structure is found upstream of a variety of genes involved in pyrimidine biosynthesis and transport. The alignment also includes a portion of the antiterminator structure.
Source: Rfam
AAUAACUUUAAUUUAGUCCAGUGAGGCUGAGAAGUAAACCGGCAGAAAUGUACAGGAACCUCUUAGUGAAAACUGAGAGGUUCUAUUUUU